GGGUUGUGAGGUUAAGCGACUAAGCGUACACGGUGGAUGCCCUGGCAGUCAGAGGCGAUGAAGGACGUGCUAAUCUGCGAUAAGCGUCGGUAAGGUGAUAUGAACCGUUAUAACCGGCGAUUUCCGAAUGGGGAAACCCAGUGUGUUUCGACACACUAUCAUUAACUGAAUCCAUAGGUUAAUGAGGCGAACCGGGGGAACUGAAACAUCUAAGUACCCCGAGGAAAAGAAAUCAACCGAGAUUCCCCCAGUAGCGGCGAGCGAACGGGGAGCAGCCCAGAGCCUGAAUCAGUGUGUGUGUUAGUGGAAGCGUCUGGAAAGGCGCGCGAUACAGGGUGACAGCCCCGUACACAAAAAUGCACAUGCUGUGAGCUCGAUGAGUAGGGCGGGACACGUGGUAUCCUGUCUGAAUAUGGGGGGACCAUCCUCCAAGGCUAAAUACUCCUGACUGACCGAUAGUGAACCAGUACCGUGAGGGAAAGGCGAAAAGAACCCCGGCGAGGGGAGUGAAAAAGAACCUGAAACCGUGUACGUACAAGCAGUGGGAGCACGCUUAGGCGUGUGACUGCGUACCUUUUGUAUAAUGGGUCAGCGACUUAUAUUCUGUAGCAAGGUUAACCGAAUAGGGGAGCCGAAGGGAAACCGAGUCUUAACUGGGCGUUAAGUUGCAGGGUAUAGACCCGAAACCCGGUGAUCUAGCCAUGGGCAGGUUGAAGGUUGGGUAACACUAACUGGAGGACCGAACCGACUAAUGUUGAAAAAUUAGCGGAUGACUUGUGGCUGGGGGUGAAAGGCCAAUCAAACCGGGAGAUAGCUGGUUCUCCCCGAAAGCUAUUUAGGUAGCGCCUCGUGAAUUCAUCUCCGGGGGUAGAGCACUGUUUCGGCAAGGGGGUCAUCCCGACUUACCAACCCGAUGCAAACUGCGAAUACCGGAGAAUGUUAUCACGGGAGACACACGGCGGGUGCUAACGUCCGUCGUGAAGAGGGAAACAACCCAGACCGCCAGCUAAGGUCCCAAAGUCAUGGUUAAGUGGGAAACGAUGUGGGAAGGCCCAGACAGCCAGGAUGUUGGCUUAGAAGCAGCCAUCAUUUAAAGAAAGCGUAAUAGCUCACUGGUCGAGUCGGCCUGCGCGGAAGAUGUAACGGGGCUAAACCAUGCACCGAAGCUGCGGCAGCGACACUAUGUGUUGUUGGGUAGGGGAGCGUUCUGUAAGCCUGUGAAGGUGUGCUGUGAGGCAUGCUGGAGGUAUCAGAAGUGCGAAUGCUGACAUAAGUAACGAUAAAGCGGGUGAAAAGCCCGCUCGCCGGAAGACCAAGGGUUCCUGUCCAACGUUAAUCGGGGCAGGGUGAGUCGACCCCUAAGGCGAGGCCGAAAGGCGUAGUCGAUGGGAAACAGGUUAAUAUUCCUGUACUUGGUGUUACUGCGAAGGGGGGACGGAGAAGGCUAUGUUGGCCGGGCGACGGUUGUCCCGGUUUAAGCGUGUAGGCUGGUUUUCCAGGCAAAUCCGGAAAAUCAAGGCUGAGGCGUGAUGACGAGGCACUACGGUGCUGAAGCAACAAAUGCCCUGCUUCCAGGAAAAGCCUCUAAGCAUCAGGUAACAUCAAAUCGUACCCCAAACCGACACAGGUGGUCAGGUAGAGAAUACCAAGGCGCUUGAGAGAACUCGGGUGAAGGAACUAGGCAAAAUGGUGCCGUAACUUCGGGAGAAGGCACGCUGAUAUGUAGGUGAAGUCCCUCGCGGAUGGAGCUGAAAUCAGUCGAAGAUACCAGCUGGCUGCAACUGUUUAUUAAAAACACAGCACUGUGCAAACACGAAAGUGGACGUAUACGGUGUGACGCCUGCCCGGUGC
RNAcentral lists this ribosomal RNA (1851 nucleotides) under Escherichia coli. RNAcentral describes it as "partial 23S ribosomal RNA". It matches the Rfam family "Bacterial large subunit ribosomal RNA", at positions 1 to 1869 of the family's 2925-position model. Lineage: Bacteria; Pseudomonadati; Pseudomonadota; Gammaproteobacteria; Enterobacterales; Enterobacteriaceae. The record is from RNAcentral.